UGGGGAAUUGUUCGCAAUGGGCGCAAGCCUGACGACGCAACGCCGCGUGGAGGAUGAAGAUUUUCGGAUCGUAAACUCCUGUCGAGUGGGAAGAACAGCUCUGGGGCGAACAGGCCUGGAGCCUGACGGUACCACUAAAGGAAGCCCCGGCUAACUCCGUGCCAGCAGCCGCGGUAAUACGGGGGGGGCAAGCGUUGUUCGGAAUUACUGGGCGUAAAGGGCUCGUAGGCGGCCAACUAAGUCGGAUGUGAAAUCCCCAGGCUUAACUUGGGAACUGCGUCGGAUACUGGAUGGCUUGAAUUCGGGAGAGGGAUGCAGAAUUCCAGGUGUAGCGGUGAAAUGCGUAGAUAUCUGGAGGAAUACCGGUGGCGAAGGCGGCAUCCUGGACCGACAUUGACGCUGAGGAGCGAAAGCUAGGGGAGCAAA
Molecule: ribosomal RNA, 426 nt
Filed under: uncultured bacterium
Lineage: Bacteria
Description: bacterial SSU rRNA
Rfam family: Bacterial small subunit ribosomal RNA
Source: RNAcentral